Molecule: unclassified non-coding RNA, 434 nt
Filed under: uncultured Cortinariaceae
Lineage: Eukaryota; Fungi; Basidiomycota; Agaricomycetes; Agaricales; Cortinariaceae
Description: sequence contains ITS2
Rfam family: 5.8S ribosomal RNA (bases 1-154)
Source: RNAcentral
AACUUUCGGCAAUGGAUCACUUGGCUCUCGCAUCGAUGAAGAACGCAGCGAAAUGCGAUAAGUAUUGUGAAUUGCAGAAUUCAGUGAAUCAUCGAAUCUUUGAACGCACCUUGCGCUCCUUGGUAUUCCGAGGAGCAUGCCUGUUUGAGUGUCAUUAAAUUCUCAACCUUUAUCAGCUUUUGCUGAUGAUGGCUUGGAUAUGGGGGUUUUAUUUUGCUGGCUUCUUCACAGAUGGUCAGCUCCCCUUAAAUGCAUUAGCUGGUGCCCCGCGUGGACUGUCUAUUGGUGUGAUAAUUAUCUACGCCGUGGACAUCUGCAAUCAUAUGGGUUUGCACUGCUUCCAACCGUCUGUUCAUUCAGACAAUACAUGACAAUUUGACCUCAAAUCAGGUAGGACUACCCGCUGAACUUAAGCAUAUCAAUAAGCGGAGGCU